RNAcentral lists this ribosomal RNA (443 nucleotides) under uncultured bacterium. Its description in RNAcentral is "partial 16S ribosomal RNA". It matches the Rfam family "Bacterial small subunit ribosomal RNA", at positions 338 to 795 of the family's 1533-position model. The record is from RNAcentral.
CCUACGGGAGGCAGCAGUGGGGAAUAUUGGGCAAUGGGCGCAAGCCUGACCCAGCAACGCCGCGUGAAGGAAGCAGGCUUUCGGGUUGUAAACUUCUUUUCUGAGGGACGAAGAAAGUGACGGUAACUCAGGAAUAAGCCACGGCUAACUACGUGCCAGCAGCCGCGGUAAUACGUAGGUGGAAAGCGUUAUCCGGAUUUAUUGGGUGUAAAGGGCGUGUAGGCGGGAAAGCAAGUCAGAUGUGAAAACUCAGGGCUCAACCCUGAGCCUGCAUUUGAAACUGUUUUUCUUGAGUGCUGGAGAGGCAAUCGGAAUUCCGUGUGUAGCGGUGACAUGCGUAGAUAUACGGAGGAACACCAGUGGCGAAGGCGGAUUGCUGGACAGUAACUGACGCUGAGGCGCGAAAGCGUGGGGAGCAAACAGGAUUAGAUACCCUAGUAGUC